GACGAACGCUGGCGGCGUGCUUAACACAUGCAAGUCGAACGGAAAGGCCCUGCUUUUGUGGGGUGCUCGAGUGGCGAACGGGUGAGUAACACGUGAGUAACCUGCCCUUGACUUUGGGAUAACUUCAGGAAACUGGGGCUAAUACCGGAUAGGAGCUCCUGCUGCAUGGUGGGGGUUGGAAAGUUUCGGCGGUUGGGGAUGGACUCGCGGCUUAUCAGCUUGUUGGUGGGGUAGUGGCUUACCAAGGCUUUGACGGGUAGCCGGCCUGAGAGGGUGACCGGCCACAUUGGGACUGAGAUACGGCCCAGACUCCUACGGGAGGCAGAAGUGGGGAAUAUUGAACGAUGGGCGGAAGCCUGAUGAAGAAACGCCGCGUGCGGGAUGACGGCCUUCGGGUUGUAAAACGCUUUCGCCUGUGACGAAGCGUGAGUGACGGUAAUGGGUAAAGAAGCACCGGCUAACUACGUG
Molecule: ribosomal RNA, 468 nt
Filed under: uncultured bacterium
Lineage: Bacteria
Description: partial 16S ribosomal RNA
Rfam family: Bacterial small subunit ribosomal RNA
Source: RNAcentral